CUUAGUCUUUUCUUCUCCCAAAGAUAACCCACAAGAAAGCGGAGGAUAGAAAUUAUUGGGGUAAUUCGGUUGCUUCUGGCCAGAGCAGAAAUUAAGCAAGCAAGCAGAAUAGAGCAUAUCCCUGGUUCAGAUGUUUCAAAGAAGUGUUGUGAGAAGAAGCAUAAGCGAUUCCUGCUUCAACCCCAUAAAUACAUAAAUUUCCCAACGUAUAUGCUCAAAGAGAAAGCAUUAAGAUAAUCCAUGCCACCAUGUUUGAUGAGUAGUUCUGCUUUGAUGAGUAGUUCAGCAUCAAAAGAGUUGCAGAAAGACCUCUCAUGAAGAGGAAUAGCAUCAGUGUAAGCUGUAAAAUCAAGCUCCCCUAUGGGAUUACUUAUGGUGUAUGGGUUGAGGGGGGUCUUCCAUCACUUCCCACUUCUCCCUUCUGCCCACCAAGGCCCUCUCAGUUGCUGCUGCUUGAGGAAGUCCCCUUGCCACCAAGGAGCACACUGGGAUUCCCCAGCAUUUCAGGCAGGAAACUCGAGCUACUUGUAUGUGUUUCUGGCCAAUACUGGUCAUUCCUUGAGUGAUUUCUAUUCCGGACCACAGACAAACAUGUAAACUGCUGGAAUUUCCACUGGAACUCUCUGACACCCCUUGAUUGUAAGUGAGCAUUCCACUAACAAGAGGAGGAGUUAAGGCCUUGCAAAGAGUUUUGCUCUGAUGUGAAAUUUUCAGAUUUCACAACACUUGCUUUAGUUCAGUCGCUGAAAAACUUGAGUUUUUGCAAAGAGCCGGUGCUUUUGAUAUAGCAGUUGGGGUUUUGUAGAAUCUGCUGCUUGCUGUUGACUCUGCUUUCAUCUAGCAGGAUCUGCUCUUGGAGGAAAUGUGUUUGAACACCUUACAAGACAGAAGGAAACCUGAAGGCUAACCAACCCAACUUCUUCAAACAUUCUUCAUAAAGCUUGGUUUCCAGACCAUUGAUCAUCUUGGUUGCCCUCCUCUGCACACGUUCCAGCUUGUAAACAUCCUUCUUACACUGUGGUGCCCAGAAUUGGACUAAGUAUUCCGAAGAAGAUCCACAUCUUGUUUAGACUGAUGCAGAAAAGUGAUGAACUCAACUGCAAACUUCAAAAAUGAGGAACUGAAAGCUGACAGAUACAGCCAUCCGUCAUGUCUACAUAGAAGGAAGUCUCGUUGAUUCAGUUGGACUCAAGUCCCCAAUAAGCAUGGAUCCCACUUCCCCUCUCUUGAGAAGCUCGGAACUUCUUACACCUCCAUUUCCCGUGCAGGUACUGACUAUGUUGAGGCAUCUUCCACAUCAAGACUGUAGCAACAUUGCAUGACCUUCGAGUCUCUGUUUUGUUGCAUGGGGCUCUAAAAAGUUAACAUGGGCGAACAUUUAUGGUACACUCUGCCAUGCAAAUAUAUAUACGCCUGCCCCAUGGAAUGCCCUCCCAUCAGAUGUCAAGGAAAUAAAUAACGAGAAAACUUUUAGAGGACGCCUGAAGACAGCCCUGUAUAGGGAAGAUUUUAA
Molecule: long non-coding RNA, 1513 nt
Organism: Zootoca vivipara (common lizard)
Lineage: Eukaryota; Metazoa; Chordata; Lepidosauria; Squamata; Lacertidae
Source: RefSeq, a predicted model, not a curated record